UGAGGCCAAACUUGGCAUGUGAU
Molecule: small RNA, 23 nt
Filed under: Arabidopsis thaliana (thale cress)
Lineage: Eukaryota; Viridiplantae; Streptophyta; Magnoliopsida; Brassicales; Brassicaceae
Description: AGO4_13009
Source: RNAcentral